AUUGAACGCUGGCGGCAUGCUUUACACAUGCAAGUCGAACGGUAACAGGUUAAGCUGACGAGUGGCGAACGGGUGAGUAAUGCAUCGGAACGUGCCCGGUCGUGGGGGAUAACACUUCGAAAGAAGUGCUAAUACCGCAUACGAUCUAAGGAUGAAAGCGGGGGACCGUAAGGCCUCGCGCGAUCGGAGCGGCCGAUGUCAGAUUAGGUAGGUGGUGGGGUAAAGGCCUACCAAGCCGACGAUCUGUAGCUGGUCUGAGAGGACGACCAGCCACACUGGGACUGAGACACGGCCCAGACUCCUACGGGAGGCAGCAGUGGGGAAUUUUGGACAAUGGGCGCAAGCCUGAUCCAGCAAUGCCGCGUGCAGGAAGAAGGCCUUCGGGUUGUAAACUGCUUUUGUACGGAACGAAACGGCGAACUCUAAUACAGUUUGCUAAUGACGGUACCGUAAGAAUAAGCACCGGCUAACUACGUGCCAGCAGCCGCGGUAA
RNAcentral lists this ribosomal RNA (493 nucleotides) under uncultured bacterium. Its description in RNAcentral is "partial 16S ribosomal RNA". It matches the Rfam family "Bacterial small subunit ribosomal RNA", at positions 30 to 523 of the family's 1533-position model. The record is from RNAcentral.